UCUCCGUUGGUGAACCAGCGGAGGGAUCAUUACCGAGUUUCCGAACUCCCAAACCCCUGUGAACGCACCUAUCGUUGCUUCGGCGGGACCGCCCCGGCGCCCUCGUGGCCCGGACCCAGGCGCCCGCCGGAGGACCCAAACUCUUGUUUUAACAUCAUUGUAUCUUCUGAGUGGCACAAGCAAAUAAAUCAAAACUUUCAACAACGGAUCUCUUGGUUCUG
RNAcentral lists this unclassified non-coding RNA (221 nucleotides) under Paracremonium inflatum. Its description in RNAcentral is "partial contains small subunit ribosomal RNA, internal transcribed spacer 1, and 5.8S ribosomal RNA". Lineage: Eukaryota; Fungi; Ascomycota; Sordariomycetes; Hypocreales; Nectriaceae. The record is from RNAcentral. RNAcentral also lists the same sequence under 1 other name.